UGAAGAAAAGGAAGUCCCUGAGGACUCACUGGAGGAGUGUGCCAUCACUUGUUCAAAUAGCCACCACCCUUGUGAGUCCAACCAGCCUUACGGGAACACCAGAAUCACAUUUGAGGAAGACCAAGUCGACUCAACUCUCAUUGACUCAUCCUCCCAUGAUGAAUGGUUGGAUGCUGUAUGCAUUAUCCCAGAAAAUGAAAGUGAUCAUGAGCAAGAGGAAGAAAAAGGGCCAGUGUCUCCCAGGAAUCUGCAGGAGUCUGAAGAGGAGGAAGCCCCCCAGGAGUCCUGGGAUGAAGGUGAUUGGACUCUCUCAAUUCCUGCUGACAUGACAUUGGUGUGAUCAAGUGAAAAAGGAGGACCAAGAGGCCACAAGUCCCAGGCUCAGCAGGGAGCUGCUGGAUGAGAAAGAGCCUGAAGUCUUGCAGGACUCACUGGAUAGAUUUUAUUCAACUCCUUUUGCGUACCUGGAACUGCCUGACUUAUGCCAGCCCUACAGAAGUGACUUUUACUCAUUGCAGGAACAACACCUUGGCUUGGCUCUUGACGUGGA
RNAcentral lists this small RNA (550 nucleotides) under Pan troglodytes (chimpanzee). RNAcentral's name for it is "processed transcript". The record is from RNAcentral. Lineage: Eukaryota; Metazoa; Chordata; Mammalia; Primates; Hominidae.